This 31-nucleotide non-coding RNA is filed under the name Rattus norvegicus (Norway rat). The record is from RNAcentral. Lineage: Eukaryota; Metazoa; Chordata; Mammalia; Rodentia; Muridae.
GAAACUUGCUGACCUUGGGACAAGGUUUCCA